This 253-nucleotide ribosomal RNA is filed under the name uncultured bacterium. RNAcentral's name for it is "partial 16S ribosomal RNA". It matches the Rfam family "Bacterial small subunit ribosomal RNA", at positions 524 to 776 of the family's 1533-position model. The record is from RNAcentral.
UACAGAGGGGGCAAGCGUUAUUCGGAAUUAUUGGGCGUAAAGGGCGCGUAGACGGCUUUGCAAGUGACGGGUGAAAUCCCUCGGCUUAACCGAGGAACUGCCUGUCAAACUGCAUGGCUUGAGACCGGGAGAGGUGAGUGGAAUUCCCAGUGUAGCGGUGAAAUACGUAGAUAUUGGGAGGAACACCAGUGGCGAAGGCGGCUCACUGGACCGGUACUGACGCUGAUGCGCGAAAGCGUGGGGAGCAAACAGG